UACGUAGGGGCCUAGCGUUGUCCGGAAUUAUUGGGCGUAAAGGGUGCGUAGGCGGUUUGGUAAGUCUGAUGUGAAAUCUAUGGGCUCAACUCAUAGUCUGCAUCGGAAACUGCCGGGCUUGAGUAUGGGAGAGGUGAGUGGAAUUCCUGGUGUAGCGGUGAAAUGCGUAGAUAUCAGGAGGAACACCUGUGGCGAAAGCGGCUCACUGGACCAUAACUGACGCUGAUGCACGAAAGCUAGGGGAGCAAACAGG
RNAcentral lists this ribosomal RNA (253 nucleotides) under uncultured bacterium. RNAcentral's name for it is "partial 16S ribosomal RNA". It matches the Rfam family "Bacterial small subunit ribosomal RNA", at positions 524 to 776 of the family's 1533-position model. The record is from RNAcentral.